RNAcentral lists this transfer RNA (121 nucleotides) under Alectoria sarmentosa. RNAcentral describes it as "tRNA-Leu". It matches the Rfam family "tRNA". Rfam says of the family: Transfer RNA (tRNA) molecules are approximately 80 nucleotides in length. Their secondary structure includes four short double-helical elements and three loops (D, anti-codon, and T loops). Lineage: Eukaryota; Fungi; Ascomycota; Lecanoromycetes; Lecanorales; Parmeliaceae. The record is from RNAcentral.
GGGAAGGUGGCCGAGUGGUUAUGGCGGAUGUCUCAAGUUUUCGAAAACUUUCGACUUGGAAUUAUCAGGUUGUUGCAAACAUCUGGAGCAAUCCGCGUGGGUUCGAGUCCCACCCUUCUCA